UUUAUUAAUUACAUGUGAAACAUAGCUGACUGAGCUAUUUCUAAUCCUUUGGUGAUUGAAAAUUUGAAGGUUCGAAAGACAAUGUGAUAAGCCAGAUACCUAGUCAAGUGCAGGAGCUUGCGUUCCCUGGGUCUGCAAAAGAUAUUGAGAACCUAAUAAAGAGCCAAAGUGAGUCCUACUUUGUGGAUGCUCAGCCUCAGCAGAAAGAGGAGGGGAACAAGGGAAGAAAGGGUCCUUUGUCUUCAAUUUUGAGGGCUUUUUACUGAAUAAGUAUGUAGUACUAAAAUGUAUGCUGUAAUAGCUCAUAGUGAGCGAGGAAAGUAUCGGGCUAUUUAACUAUGACUUGAGCUCCAUCUAUGAAUAAAUAAAUCAGCAUAUGAUGCUUUUGUUUUGUGUACUUCAACUGUCUGCUUAGCUAAUUUGAUAUGGUUGGCACUUGGCACGUAUAAAUAUGCUGAAGUAAUUUACUCUGAAGCUAAAUUAACUAGAUUAGAUGAGUGUAUUAUAUACAAAAGGCAUUAAAUCAGAUACAUCUUAGACAAAUUGUCACGGUCUACCAGAAAAGAAAUUGCAUUUGUUUUUGGGUCUUUCAGACUGACAAGAUCUGAAGUCUAAACAAUUCUAAGAGGUAUCAUGUAGCAAUGUCCUGCCACAAUAUUGAAUUCAAACAGAGUGAAUGAGAGGAAAGAUCCUUAAGAUCAAUUGAUCAUUGUAAAAUGAUCGUUUAUUCCAAAGUUUCAAUGAAUGAGUACACAUCACGACUUUAUAUAUAGUGUAUUGAAUCAGACGAAUUAAAAUUACUAACAUAAAUCAUUGGGUGGUUAAUAAACAGAACGAGCUUGAAUUGCUUAUUGCUUUUAGUGGCAAACAGUAUUUUUGCUUUUUGCUUAAAAUUUAAGUGCUGUGCCAGAAGGGUGAAAGUCCAAAAAAACCCUACAUAAAGAACAAUGCAAGAAAGAAGCACAGUACCAAGAAAGAUACAAUAGAGCAGAAUUAGUUAUUAAGAUAAAUUUAGUGCUUUUAACUAGAAUAACUAGUUUUGUUGAUCUAGUAAUUUAGUUAAUUAGUCUUAUAAAAAGGAUAUUAUGGAGACCAAUCAUCUAUAACAAUGAUUAUUCUUUAAACAUCAAAUUAGCCAUUAUACUUCAAUACUGUUGGCAAAUGAAGAAUUUUAAAAAUCAGGAACCAAAAAAGUUUUCAUUCAUACAGCAGAACACAUUGUUUCUGAUACAUAUAUUUGCUUACAUAAACAUAAGAGUAAGUACAACAGGCUUCUACUAUCUAACAAGUUAACCAGCCAGUUACCCAACUUAGUUAAAAAGCUUAACACAUUGUACUUUUGUCUGAAAACACAUUAAUUACUACAUAAAUUAAAGAAUGAAGUACAAUUACAGAUUGCAAUAACUGUUGGACAUUAGAAAAUUCAGUAACAUUAACAUUCCUCCGUGAAAUUUUGAAUGAACACUCCAAACAAGUGUCUAAGUCUUGGGAAGAGCUUUAGUCAAUAUAUGGUCUUCAUACCACGAACCAAUUGGGGAUAACUAAUCCUAAAUACAAGUCUUCUACUCCUAGAACACCGAAUGUUCUUUAACAAAAACACUUCACUUUACAGCCAAUAACUUUUCUUUUUGUUUGAGUUUUCUGUGUCAAUUCGUACGAAUUAAACUAUUAGCUUCAAGUAACAUGCUAAAACAGUGUAGGAAAACAAUAAACUAUUCCUUUUGCACAAAUCUAUGGUUGGGUGCUAUGGUUCUUAAUUACCAAUGCAACUAAACUUUUUUUUUUUUUUUAAUUAUAGCUUGCCUCCAUAACUCCUUUAAUUUGCAACUUAUUAAUUAGUUUGACCGUGCAGAUCAAUUACUUGUCUUUCCUCCGCCAUAGUAAUUACUAUCUCACUCCGUGUGUAUAACUAUAACUAUAAAUACCCCUAAUCUCACUCCUUGUUGUUUCAUCAUCGAUCGAGAAGUGUAAUGACCUAAGCAAUAUUCCCUACAAUACAACAAUACUACACUAUAUUAUACUAUGAUGAGAGCGCGGUAUCCGUUGUUGCUGUUGCUGGGAAUUGUUUUCCUGGCAUCAGUUUCUGUCUUAUUUGGCAUUAUACAGAAGCAGCAAUGCCUACAGAGUUGCGAGAUCGAGCGAGCAGGAUCCGUACAGGCUGCAACAAUGUAAGAUUCGUUGCAAGCUUGUUUCCUGAGCGUGAGGAGCAACAAGAAGAAAAAGAAGAAAGAGAACAUCAACGAGCACAACCCCAACCACCACACUAGGAGAGGGGACCCCAUGAGGGUAAGAAGGCGGAAAAGGAACAAGACGACCGUGAGCAACCUCGUCCGUUUCCACGUCCUAAUCACAAAUAGCACAAACAGCACAAACGGCCUCAUGGAAAUCCUGAAGAAUGUGAAGGUUCGGAUGAGUCAGUCACAAAAACGAAACAACCUUUAUCACUUCAGCUCUAACAGCUUCGACACUCUCUUCAAGAACCAAUAUGGUCACAUUCGUCUCUUCCAGAGGUUCAACCAACGUUCUCCACAACUUGAGAAUCUUCGAGACUACCACGUUGUGGAGUUCAAGUUCAACCCCAACGCCCUCUUUCUCCCCCACCAUGCUGAUUCUGAAUUCCUCUUGGUUCUCAUUAGCCGUAGUUAAUUACUACUAAUUCAACAUCACCACAUUUGCUUCUGCUUGUAUAAAUAAUAAUGGUAAUGAAUAAUUUGUUUGGUUGUUAAUUACAAGGAGAGGCUUCAUCCUGGCGAUGCCCUGAGAAUCCCUGCUGGAACCACUUACUAUUUGGUUAACCCUGACUACAAGGAAACAUUCCCGAGUAGUCACACUCGCCAUACCCCUUAACAAACCUGGAAGAUUUCAGGUACUGCCUUUUCUAAUUCAUAACUAAUUAAUUAUUCUUUUAAUUUGUUUCCAGUUGUGAAGAUCAUCAAUCUUUGUCUUUUCCGUGUAGAGUUUCUUCCUAUCCAGCAAUCCUACUUGCAAGGGUUCAGCGAGAAUAUUCUGGAGGCCUCCUUCAACGUAAGCAAGCAACACACCAUCUAAUUUGCAUUUCCAUUUAGUGGUAUGUCUAAAUGACACACUAACUAAAUAUUAUCAUUAGUUAUACUUGCUUGAUUUUAUAGACCGAAUUCGAGGAGAUAAACAGGGUUCUGUUGGGAGAGGAGGGGCAACAACAAGGCGUGCAGAGGCUGCAAGAGAGAGUGAUGGUGGAACUGUCAAAGGAACAGAUUCAGGAACUUAGCAGACAUGCCAAAUCUAGUUCAAGAAAAACCAUUACCUCCAAAAACGAACCAUUCAACUUGAGAAGCCGCAAACCUAUCUAUUCCAACAAGUUUGGUAAGUUCCAUGAGAUAACCCCCUAAAAAAAACCACAGCUUCGGGACUUGGAUAUCUUCUUAGUUAGAGAACCCAAUUAUUGAGGCUUUAAAUAAUGAUUUACUUUUUUUGUUAACAAAAAUAUAAGGAGCUCUUCUUCUACCACACUUCAAUUCAAAGGCCAUAGUGAUACUAGUGAUUAAUGAAGGAGAAGCAAACAUUGAACUUGUGAGUCUAAGAGAACAACAACAGGAAGAGGAACCUUUGGAAGUGCAAAGGUACAGAGUUGAAUUGUUUGAAGACGAUAUAUAUAUUUGUAAUCCCAGCAGCUUAUCCAUUUGUCGUCAAAUCUCAAUUUCCUUGCUUUUGGUAUUAAUGCCGAGAACAACCAGAGAAACUUCCCUGCAGGUAUGUAUCAAAAUCAAAUAAAAUAUACUGUUGUUACUUUUUUGUUUUUAUUGCUGUGAGAGUGGAAUGUAUCGGCCAUGUAACUAUAAUAAUUUGAGCCCCACCCUUGCUUCUACUAUGAAUAAAUAAAUCGAGCAUACGAUGCUUGUGUUUUGUGUCCUUCAACUGUAUAAUUUUAUAUGGUUGGCACGAAUCAAUAUGUUAAAGUAAUUUACUUUGAAUCUAAAUUAUCUGAAUUAUGACGUGUAUUAAAUGAAAAAAAGACAUUAAAUUAGAUACAUCUUCGACAAAGUGUUACGGUCUACCAGAAAAGCUAUUGACUUUGUUUUCAAGUCUGCCAGACGACUGAAAAGAUGUUUGAAAGCCACAUAUACAACAAAUACAUAAAACGCAGGCAAGAAGCAAUAUUCAAAACAUCACUCAUUCAGAGGGCUCCCUUUGAUUGUGAUAAAAUAAAUUGGAAAAUUGUUAUUGGUGGAAGAGAAUUAGAAAGUUGUUUGGGGAGCGCACCCUGGAUGACCAUUGACCCGGCCAAUCAUCCUCCGCUACUGCGGCACCGCCUCCAUGAUCCUCGCCGAGUUAAUGGGCUCCAUCAUCACCUCAGCGUCGCCCUCUGCAUCUCCGAUUGCCUCCGCUGUCUCCUCCUCCCCCCAAACUCAAACUAGCGAAGGAAAGAAGUCCAUGAAGCGCAAAGUUGGAUUAGAUCACCAAGUUCAAUUUGGCAAUCACCUUGUCCUUCGAGGAUCAACAAUGUGCCCUUGAAUUCGAAGCAAUGUGGAAUUCGAACAAGUGAUCCAUCCCUAUCCUAUUAGCGUCAGUCUAAUUCCACUCAUAUUCUUCCAUUAUUACAGCUAUAACGUUUUUUCAGAAUAUAUUAAUGUGAUUACACAUUCUUUUAGGAUUGAAUUACUACUACAACAGCUUCUUAAAAAUAAAGAGAAAUAAAAAGCAAUAUUAAUUAUUUCAUAGGAUUUUAUAUUUAUAAAUCUAUACGCAGGAAAGAUUAAAAAAAAGUAUGCAAUAAAGUUAUAAAAUAUAAAAAUUACAUUCUAAACUUUGAUUAAAACUAUUGAAAUAAUGUAUAAGAUUAUUGAAAAUAUUAAAAACAUAUUUCAGAGGUGUUGAAAAUAUUUAAUAUUAAAAUGUUAUUGAAAAUAUUAAAAACAUAUAAUAUAUUAAAAUAUAUUUUUAUUUGUUGAACUUACAAUAUUUUAUUAAAAAUAGCUUUUAUGAUAUUUCGAUUCUGAAAUAUUGAAAAUAUUUAUAAUAAAAUAUAAAAAAAUGAUUUUUAAAAAAUAAAAAUAAAAUAUUUUAAAAAAAUAUUAAAAUCACAUAUUUUGAAAAAUAUAUAAGUAAAAAAUUAAGAUAAUGUAUUUUUUUAAAUAGCUUUAUAAUAUUUUGAUUAAAAAAGUAUAGACAAAUAUCAAAAUAUAGCAGUAAAUUCUUAAAAUAUAUAUAGUAAAUUUAAAUUAUGUAAACUUAAAAAAUAAAAUAAAAAUAACAUCAAAACAUUUAAAAAUAUAAAUUAAUUCAAAUAUAUUGAAACUAAAAUUUAUAGGUAAAUUAUAUUAUGCCUAAAAAGUGAGUUAUUCUAAUAUUAUUAUAUUUGUAAAAUUAUGAAAAUAAAAUUGAAAAGUAAAAGAAGGAAAAACAACACCUCUCUCUGAUAUAACGACAACAUUAACAAGUGGAGUGGUGCGGAAAGUGUAUUCUUCCUUUGAAGAGAGAUCCUACGAGUAGCUAUGGAACUUUAGUUUUUCCAAUGCCAUCUGCACCAAUUUCAAACCAUAUAUAGAUGGAGGAUAACACUGCAAUAUGCAACAAACUAUGAGUACUUGAUCAUGGUAUUAAUUAACACAUGCUUCUACAUUCAAACAAGUAUAAUAAUGAACACAUCACUGAAACUCUCACAUAUACAACUAUACAUAAAGCACUGACAAAGAAAUAAUUUAACAAAUCAAAAGCAAUAAAAAGAAAUAACACAAAACAAAAAUACAAGAAACAAUAUUCAAAAAGCAUUAAUUAAACAUCCGAGGCCGCAUUGACAAUUUCCCUGACAUCAAAUUGAGACAACACCGAGCAAGGUAAAAGAGCUACUCACAAGAUGCUAUGUUUGGUUAAAAAAACACUAAUUGUGUUUGGUUAUCGUUCAUCACACACCUAAAAGAGAUAGAUUUGCACAUAAUAAUAACCUGAUUGAAUUAAAAUGUUGUCAAUGAUUUUUCAACCAUCUAAACAACCAAUUUGAAAUCCUUUACAGUCAAUACUUAAAUGUUGUACAGUAAGAAUGGUAUUUGGGCAAUGAUACAUUAAACCUAAAACAUUUUUUUAAAGGAAAAUAUCAACCAAUUUGAAAUCCUCUACAUGCAGUCAAUACUUAAAUUUUAACAUUGGUAACUACCCAACAAUAUAUAAACCUAAAACAAUCAUAUUACAGUCAAAUAUCAAUUUUAUAGAUCAACAUCAAUUCCAAAUAUAAUACCUACGAUAAAAGAAAAUAUGUGCUAAUUUAAUACGUAGUACUAUUUAAAUAAUUUUAAAGUAAAUUUAAUAAUUUUUAAUAUGUAUAUCCAGGUGCAAAUUUUAGAUAAAUGCUUUCUAGCUUUUAAUUAUAAUUACUAAAUUUUUUUAUAUCUAUUCAUUUUACAUCUUUCAUCCAUUAGACAAACCCAUUUCAUAAACUUCUCUUAAUUAUGUUAUAAUUGUUAUUCUUUAAUAAUGAAUGAUUGUUCUUACAUGGUACAAUUGUAUGAGGGAAUUUGAUCAAUAUAGGUUAUUUUUUAAAAUUAAAUAUCAUUUUAGGGUGAUUUUUAAACAAUUUACAAGACUGAAUAAUUUUUAAGUGGUGUCACUAAAUCAUUCACAUACCUAAAUUGGUGACACUUCCUUAAAAUAACACCACCCGGAGAAACUGAUGAAUUGGCGUUGCCAAUUUUCUACGUAAGGAUCAUCUAGGCUGAUAAAUUGUUUAAAGAACACCUUGAAGUGGUAUUUUAAAAAGUUUUAACAAAUAACCUAUAUUAAUCAAAUUGGCCUUGUAUGAUGUCCACUCGAUGUUUUCGUUCUUGUUUUGAUAGGCACCCAUUACUUAUCUAUAUAUCCUCCGGCAUAUAUAGUUAUAUGGUUGUGUACGUAUUUUUGUUUUAUUGAUGGUACCGGAUGGAGUAGCAUGCAUAAGAGUAUACAGUCUCUUUGGAUAUAUAAUGCAUGCGAAGCCGAGAACAGAGACCGAUGUAAAGAGCAAAACGUUAAGUAUCCUUUCCAAAACCAAUUGUCUAAGUGUUGGAUUACAAGUAGGAGUUAAAGUUUCAUAUCGGAUAAAAAUAAAAAAGUUGAGUACCAUUUAAAUAAGAAGAAGACCCAUAAACUUAUGUCUCAAGAUUUUGGGUUAAAAUGUAGUAUUAAGUUCUCUUAUAUGGUAGCUAACUACUAUUCUGAGAGAAUUUGUCGGUCAAAUUUUUUUUGUACGAUAUCAGCCAAAAGUAUUUUUUACCGAUAUCGGCUAAGAUUUUUUUAGAUGAUGUUGGUUAAAGUUAUUUUCUCACUGACGCCAAUCAUGAGAAUUUUUUGCUGACGUUGGCCAAGGAAUUUUUGGUCGUUGUCAUCACGGUUUUUUCAAUUGAUGUUGACCAAUGGUUUUUUUGUCGACAUCGGCUAGAUUUUUUUUAUUGACAUCGGUCAUGACUAACUCUUAAGUAUACACCUGCUAUGGUUUUUCAAUCGACAUCAACUUGGUUUUUCCAGCCAAUAUCAGCCAAAGCUAUUUUUUAACCAAUAUCAGCUAGGGUUAUUUUUCAAUUGAUAUUAACUAGGGUGUUUUAGCUGAUGUCAACUAGAUUUUCUUAACCGAUGUCCGUUAGGAUUUUUUUGCUGACAUCAACUAGGGUUUUCUGAGUGACAUCAGUCAGAGCUAUUUCUUAACCACAUUAGUUAGGUUUUUUAGUUGAUGUUGGUUAGGAUUUUUUCUACUAACAUUAGCUAGGUAUUUUUGACUGACAUCGGACAUGACUAUUUUUAGUUGAAAUCAAUUAGGUUCUUACAAUCGACAUCAGUUAGAGCUAUUUUUUAGCCAACAUCAGUCAAGGCUAUUUUACAGCUAAUGUUGGGUAGGUUUUUUGUUUGAUAUUGGUCAGGGCUAUUUUUAGCCAACUUCGACAAAGGAUUUUUCGAUUAAUGUUGACCAAUGAUGUUUUUCGGCCGACAUUGAGUAGGUUUUAUUGGUCAGCAUCGACCAAGUUAUUUUUUAGCUGAUAUUGGAUAGAUUUUUUUGUCAACGCCUGCUAGGAUUUUUUAGGCCGAUGUUGACCAAAAAUAGUCUUGGUCAAUAUUGUUCAAAAAGAUUCUAACCGGUGUCGACCAAACAAACCUUAGCAGACGUUAGUCAAAAAAACCUAGCUAACAUCGGCUGAAAAAUAAACUCAACCAACGCUAGUCGAAAAAUAGCUCUGACUAACGUCAGCUGAAAAAUAUUUUCGGUAUAUUUUGACAAAAAAAAAACCCUAUUUGAUGUCGAUCGAAAAAUAGUCAUGGUUAAUGUUGGUUUAAAAACACCACUGCUUGUGAUCAGACAAAACAACCAUAGUUAAAAUUAUCAAUAUUUUGUAUUUUUAAAUUAUUAAAAAUUGAAAAAUAUUUUUUAAUUAAUAUUUCAAAAUUACAUUGUGUUUGUUUUCUAUAAAAUUUAAUAUUAAAAUUUCAUCUAUUUAAAAUAUAAAAUUAAAAUUUUACAUAUGAAGAAAAAUGAAUUAUCCUAUUCAAAUAAAGAAUUUAAAAUUGAAAAAAUUUAAAUUAAUUUAUUUAAAUAAAACUUUUAAAAAAUGAAAGAAAUUAAAAUUAAAACAAUUCAAAUUCUAUAAACAUUUCAAAAUUGCUUAUAGAGACACAAGAUUACUAUCUACCAGAAAAGCAAUCAACUUUGUUUUCAAUUCUUCAACUGCUCAAUUCUGUGCUUAAUUACUUUGAUACGCAUGCUGGUUGGCACGGAAUUCAAUUAAAAAAUGUUUUUUUAUUACAAUUAAAUUAAUACGAAAAUUUUAUGAGAACAAAAUUAAUAUCUUUUAAAAUUCUACAAAAUAUCAAAUAUAUUUUAUUCAUAAAUAUUUCACCAUGUUUGUAAUUAAACACGAAAAUUUGAACUUUAAUUAAAUAACAUGCUAUCACUUGCAGUUGGGAAAAUAAUCAACUAAUUACGUUUAUAAAAUUCUAGAUUGAGUCCUCCUUGGUUCUUACCAAGUCAGGUAAACUUGUUUUCUCCUUACUUAGAUCCGGCACGGGCUUAAAAAGUAAAGUAUAACAUGAAUCAAGAUAAAUCUCUUGCGGCAAAUUAAGUUAAGAUACUUUAAAUUAGUGAUAAUUUUUUUUUAAAAUAUUUGAAAAAUAGAUCACUCGUACAAUCAAGAAUGUGGAUCUAUUAUUGAGAGAAUUGAAUCAUGACUUAGUGAUGGUGAAGGUCUGAGUAGUUUGCACAAAUUUUUAAGUUCUAAAUUUUUUUAUCAUCAUUGUAAAAACAAUCAUCAUUGAGAAAAUUAAAAGUUUUAGAUGAAAAGCGUAAUUAAAAUUUUAAUAAUUUAUUUUUUUAAGAAAAAUGAAGAGAUUCAUAAUUGGGUUAUCCAUUUAAAUAUCAAAUGAUAAUGAACAACAUUUUACUUUAAGAGGGGGCGGUGCCUGCAGAUGUCCUUGGACUUGCCCCUGCUCUGGCUGCCGACCACCGCAACCUGAGGGAGGUCGAUGGCGGAGCGGCUCCCCUCGCGGCUGAAGAUGUCCUGGAGUGUAGAGAGAGAAGAAGCGUCGAGAAAAAGUGAGCAACGUAAGGUCUCAAUGUGAACAUCAAGGGGUAUGUAAGAUAGAGUAAAUCUAACAAACCAAUUUUUAUUGUUUUUGAAAUAAGGGUAAAACAACUUUAAAUCUAACAACACAAAUUUUGUCAAACACGUUUUUACAGACUGACUGACAACCACCCAUAGGUACUGUUAAGCAACCGCAUAACACCCUACUUCACUUCACUUCACUUAUCCACUAACUGUUCAAGAUCGCCGCAUCCGUACGUAUAUAUCUAAAACUAAAAGGACUGGACCCCAAAUGCCAUGCACAACAACACGUAUUCACCAAUGUGUCCACCUUGCCGCUCAAAUCGCUCAUAACCUCAUCCCACGAGUCCAAUGCGAACCAACCCUAAAUAAAUAACUAAAAUAAGACCCGUAUUCUUUUCAACCACCCCAAUUUUGUUCAACAAUUCAACACACGUCACUCUGCAUGCCCAUCCUGUGGCCAAAUUUUCAUGCAAGUUAACCAAAGUCGCUUUUUCUCUUCUGUAACUAUAUAUAUAUAUAUAUAUAUAUAUAUAUAUAUAGCUCUAAUCUCACACCGUGUUUUCAUCAUCACACAAGAGCGAGCGCAACAUUAUUCGAGUACGUAGCUUAACAAUAUUUUAAGCAAUUGCUGCUACAAUGAUAGCGCGGUUUCCUUUGUUGCCGUUGCUGUUGCUGGGAAUUGUUUUUCUAGCAUCAGUUUCUGUCUCAUUACAGGUGAAGCCGCCGAGUCACCACGAGUGCCUCCAGAGUUGCGAGAGUGAAACGGAUCCAUACAAGCGGAAAGCAUGCAAGCUUAGUUGCAAGUUCGUUCCUGAGCACGGGGAGCAACAACAUGAAGAAGAAGAAAGAGAAAGAGAACAUCCACAACCACACCCACCACACGAGGAGAGAGGACGUAGAGAAAGAGGACGCCAGGAAGGUGAGAAGGAGGAAAAGGAACAAGACGAGCGUGAAUUACAACCACGUCCAUUUCCACGACCAGAGGAGCAUGAAGGAGAACAGUGGAAAGGAAGGCAUCGUCAUGAAGACCCGGAAGAGAGGGCGAGAAUGAGACUGAGGGAAGCAGAAAGAAUAGAGAGGGAAAGGGAGGAACAGAGGGUGAGGGAGGAGGAAGAGAAACUCCGGCGACGUGAGAAGAAGGAACAACGGGAAGAGAAAGAAGAAGAAGGUCAAGGUUCGGAAGACUCACACUCAAAAAGACAGAACAACCCUUUUCACUUCAGCUCUAACAGGUUCCAAACGCUCUUCAAGAACCAACAUGGUCACCUUCGCGUCCUCCAGAGAUUCGACCAACGCUCCCCACAACUUGAGAACCUUCGAGACUACCGUGUUGUAGAGCUCAUGGCUAAACCCAACACCCUCUUUCUCCCCCACCACGCUGACGCUGAUUUUCUCCUCCUUGUCCUUAGCGGUUAGUACACUUAACUAAUUACUACUACUAAUUAAACAUCGAUCAUCACUUUGCUUCUGCUCUUAGUACUAGUUAAUGGUAAUCAAUUUUACUAAUUACAGGGAGAGCCUUAAUUAACUUGGUGAAACCCGACGACAGAGACCCCUACUACCUUGACCGUGGUUAUGCACAAAGAAUCCCUGCAGGAACCACUGUCUAUUUGGUUAACCCGGACAAGAAGAAAGAUCUCAGAGUGAUUAAACUCGCCAUACCCGUUAACAAACCUGGCAAUUUUGAGGUACUGCAUGCCUUUUUCAUUAUGACAGAUUAGUUAAUUAAUUCUUCUAAUUAAUUUAUUUCCAAAUGUGAAGUGAAUAUCAAUCUUUGUCCUUUUCUCUUUCUCUAGGAUUUCUUCCUAUCUAGCACUCAAGACCAGCAAUCCUACUUGCAAGGCUUCAGCGAGAAUAUUCUGGAGGCUUCCUUCAAUGUAAGCAAGCAACACAUGCACCAUCUAAUUUGCAUUUCCGUUUAGUGGUUUGUCUAAAUGUCAUACUAAUUAAAUAUUAUCAUUAUAUUUGCUUGUGUGCGCAAUUGGUUUUAUAGACCAAAUUCGAGGAGAUAAACAGGGUUUUGUUUGGUGGAGAGGGGAGGCGGCACCAGCAAGAGGGAGUGAUUUUGGAACUAUCAAAGGAACAGAUUCGGGAACUGAGCAAGCGUGCCAAAUCUAGUUCAAGGAGUACUAAUUCCUUCGAUUAUGAACCAUUCUACUUGAGAGGCUCCCAAAUCUCUUCCAACAACUUUGGAAAGUUCUAUGAGAUCACCCCUGAGAAGAACCCCCAGCUUCGGGACUUUGAUAUCCUCCUCAAUACUGUGGAUAUCAACGAGGUAAGUGCAAAAACCAUGUAGAUCUAGACAAAGUGAACUGCACUAUUGAGUUCUAUUCACUCUCUUCUUAAUUAGUUAGUUAUACUAAUUAUUGAGACUAAACAAAUACAGGGAGGUCUUCUUCUGCCACACUACAAUUCAAAGGCCAUAGUGAUACUAAUGGUUACUGAAGGAGAAGCAAACAUUGAACUCGUUGGCCUAAAAGAACAGCAACAGGGAGAGGAAACAAGGGAAGUGCGAAAGUAUAGAGCCGAGUUGUCUGAAGACGAUAUAUUUGUAAUCCCAGCAGCUUAUCCAUUUGUGGUCAACGCUACCUCAAACCUCAAUUUCGUUGCUUUUGGUAUCAAUGCUGAGAACAACCAGAGGAACUUCCUUGCAGGUACUAUACAUAUAUAAUAUUGAUUAUUGAAUACCCUGUUGUUACUUUUUGUUGUUUUAUGGCAUGUGGAAGCAUGCUGAUUGGGUUAUUUAAUUAUUUCCAAUUCUUGGUGCGUGUGAUUGAAAAUUUGAAGGUUCGAAAGACAAUGUGAUAAGACAGAUACAAAAACAGGUGAAGGAGCUUGCGUUCCCUGCUGGGUCUGCACAAGAUAUCGAGAAUCUAAUAAAGAACCAGAGGGAAUCCUAUUUUGCUGAUGCUCAGCCUUUGCAAAAGGAGGAAGGGAAGAAAGGGUCCUUUGUCUUUUGAAUAUGUAUGCUUAGGAGACUAGGAGUUCACAGCGAGCGAGGAAAGUAUAGGGAUAUGUAACUAGAAUAACUUGAGAUCCACCUUUCUACUACUAGUAAAUAAAAUAAAUAAAUCGAGCAAGAUGGUUUUGUUUACUAUCUGCUAAGCAAUUUUGAUAUGGUUGGAACGUACAUAUAUUUACAGAUCCCAAAUUAUCUGAAUAAUGACAUUUAACUCAAAAUUUUGGGAAGAUUAAAAAUGUAAAAUAAAUCUCUUAAGAGGAUAAAAGACCAAAAUAAAUAUUAGUAAAAAUAAAAAAAGAUAAAGAAUAAAAUUAAAAUAUAUUUUAGCAUUUUUUUAUAAUUUCCAUCAAAUGUACGAGUUCAUUUUUUUGUUCUUUAAUUUUUAAAUAACUGAUAAAAGAAAAACAGAUAUUUCCUUCAAAGUUCCGAUAAUGGACAGUUAUCUCUCGAACUAUAUUUUUAAAUAACUAAUAAAAGAAAAACUGAGAUAUUUCCCUCAAAUUUCGCUGAUCAUGGACAGUUUUCUAUUUACUUUUGAUUCUACAACAGUAAUUUGUUCAGAUUCUUUCUUUCAUUUCCAUAUAUAUAAAGAUCCUUUUUCUCAUGAGUAACUUUACCAUUAAGGUUUUACUGAACCUAUAAAUUCUCACCGAAGUUAAUCUUCAAUUCCAUCGUCCAGACCCAUCCAUUACUCUUCCAUCCACUCUUAUUUGCUUAGCGUGCAUCUCGGAAAAAUACUCUUUCUAUUCAUUUAUUAUCUCAUUCUCUUCCAUUAUCCAUUCAUCUUUUUCCAUUCAUAUCAUAAAGUCUUCCAUUUCAUGGUGACAAGAGCUUAAAUCUUCAUUGUUGGGCGUCUUCCAUUUCAUGGUGACAAGAGCUUAAAUCUUCAUUGUUGGGCGCCCCGCAUUUCUAUUGUGCUUAAUUGUUUAUUUAUUAUGGUUUAACCAUUCAUAUAUUAUUUAAGUAAUGAUACAUUAAAAUGAUUAUAUUUUUUUAACCGGGAGAAAGUAUCUAAAUGAAAUCAAUUAGAAAUAAAUUAAUAUUGUUUAACUUAUUUUAUGUAUCUUUAAUCUUAAUGUUUAAAAGAAAAUCAAUUAGAAAUAAAUUAAUAUUGUUUAACUUAUUUUAUGUAUCUUUAAUCUUAAUGUUUAAAAGAAAAAAAUAGAUAAAUUACUAGAUAUUUUGAAUUAUCUUUUUAUCAUCAUCUUAUCUUUUACUGUUCUUAUCUUUAAAUCUUUUAUAUUUCUUAUCUUUAAAUCUCUAAUUUUUUUUUAAAAUCUCUUAUCUUAUUAUUUCUUACCUCUUUUAUCUUAUUAUUUCUUACCUCUUUUAUCUUGUAUUUUAAAUUCUUUAUCUAUUACUUGUAGAUUGCUUCACUUACCAAUAAGAAAAGUGUUUUAUAUUUUCUAGUAGGCUCAGGUCCAACUUUCUUCACAUGUAUUUAGAAUGGUAGGUACCCCACAAAGUCACCUAAAAACAUAUUUUGUUGUGUAGCAAUCCGAAGGGGAUGAGUCCCAAAUGAAUCACAACCUCCUCAUGCAGAACUAUUUUCUGAACUAAAUCCUGAACCUCCAGAGGAACCAUAGUAUAGAUAGUAGACCGGUUCCAAGAAUCAUUUACAUAUAUAUCACAGAAUUUCAAUUGGGUAUCAACAAUAUGCACAAACAAAUCCUCACUGCAUAAUUUUUUUUUUCGUGAAACCACAAAUCAAACCAGAAGAAUACAUCACCAUGCCCCACACAAAACUUAAAACCCUCUCAAAGACAAUCAACAACUUUCAAAAUAUAUCUAAAAGUGUAAGAAUUCCCAUUUUGGAAGUUGGCGUUUAAGAUAUGACCAUCAUGAAGGUAGUUUGAGGAUAAGAUUUGAACCCAUAACUUGUUGAAUUCGUUCAUGAGAGCCCACGCAAGCUUGCCCAGGAGGAAGAUAUUUUGCUCCCUUGCCCUAUGAAUCCCCAAACCCUCUUUCUUCUUAGGCUUAGAAAUAAUCUCGUAAUCAACCCAAUGAGAAGAGUUGCUACCCCCCAAAUGAACUUUCUUACCGAAGUAUCAAUAGCUUUGCAAGUACCCUUUGGAAGAAGAUAGUUUUGCAUGACAAAUGAGAGGAUAUAGGCCAACAUUGAUUGAGCUAAAGUCACCCUGCCAGCCCUGCUCGAGAGCUUGAACUUCCAACCUGCCAAUUUUUCCGGGAUGUGAUUCAGAAUGAAGUUGAAUUCCCUCCUUCCGUGAAAUAUCCUCCUUAUUUGUAAUUGCAUCAGGAGUGAUAUUGUCACCAUCAAUUUAAAUCUGAUGUCUAGUUAAUCUAAUAAUUUAGGAUUACUAAAUUGUCAAAACUCACUUAUUUUUUUAGAAGAUUGUUUGUAUUUUUCAUUACACUUAGAGAUACAUAUAUAUAUAUGUAGACAUCAUCCUAUCAAGUCAACAUUUAUUUUUCUUAAUUUAGUUUCUUUUGCAAAAUGAAUAAUCGUUUGAUUUGUAAAUCAUUCUGGUUUCUUUUAUUUUGUACUCCAUUUUGAGAUAAAAUAAAUUAAAUAUGUUUAAAAUAUACAAAUAAUUUUCACAGAUAACUAAAGACAAUGUUUUUAUAUAAACAAUAGAUGUAUUAAUUAGAAGUGCUGUAGAGUUAAUUAAGAAUUCAUCUUUCCUUGUGCACACAAAUCAACUCUUCAAAUCAAACUUGGCUUUAAUAGACUAAUUUUUGGGUUUUCCUAGUUUAAUAAAUUUUGGUUAUGAUUUCAUAAUUAUUUUUCAUUGUUGUCGUCUCAAUUGCGACACUAUUUUAAACUAAUAUCAGAGCACUCCUGUUAAAUAUUUCGGAAGAAAACCAAAUGAUGAAAAUGACUUUAAUUUGUGUGUUAUUGAGAUAAACUCAAUUGGUUUAAUGACUGGAUAUAAACUGUAUAUAAGUACACGAAUUUGAUCCCUCGAAAUAUUAAUGUGUUCCUUCUGCCCGUUUCCCAUUUGUUUACCUUCUCUUUCUUUUUCCCUUUAUAAGGUCUAUUAUGAGCCAUGAGCCUGCUCUUUUUCUUCUCUUUUUUUUUAAAGAAGCCAGAGCCUUCUCUUAGUCUCUUAGGAAAAAACAUGUUUUAUGCAUUAUUUAGUUUAAAUGAGUUAUGAUAAAAAAAAUUAAAAAUAAAACUUAAGAGCAAUAGCAUAGGUUCUUCUAGUAUUAUUGUUUUAAUUAAUUAAAAUUAAAGUUUCAUCUUGAUAAUUACUUUUACGGUAAAAAUUGACAUUGAAGAACAACGAUCUAUAUAUGAUAGGGUAUUUAAAUUUUAUCCUCUUAAUUUUACUUAAGAAAAUUGUUUGGGAGAGGCAUAUGUUAGAGGUGGGAUACAUGUCAAUAUGACCGGAUUUGGACAAAUUAUUAGUGUUUGAUAAUUUGAUUUUAAUUAACCAAUUUUAUAAAUAUUUAUAAAUACUCAAGGUCAAGGGUUAUAUAUUACAUGCAAAUGUUAUUGGACAUCUUAUUAGGGUAAAAAAAAUAUUAGCAUAUAUUAGUGUUUUUCAAGCAAAAUAAAGUACAAAUUACUGGACCCUAACCUCGUUAACGUACGUAUAAUUUGAAGCAAAAAAAGCCUAUGUAUGCAAUAUAAGUUGAAUAUAGCCUUAAGAAAGAACGAGAGAUGUAUUACUCAAUAAGAAAAGAAGAAAACCAGAAUAUUUUGAAGGUAAUUUUAUUAUCAUUAUUGCAAAAUAGAAGGAAAGAGACCGAAAAAGGACACAAGUAUAAUGCGUCCUAAUUCAUGAGAAUGCCCUGUACUGUGGAUUUACAUUAAUUAAAUCGCUCCGCCAAUAUUCAUGUCUUGUUCUGGCUUUCUCCACACCGGGCUCUCAGGUGAUAGGGCGGCCGGGCGGUGUUCGUAGUCUUCCUCAGUUGGUACAGGAUACCGAUGACCACCACCAUGACCAACACUAUCUACAUGAUUCAGGCCAUCUGCAAUGUAGAGAGAAAUUUCAAAAAAAUUACAGUGCCUAGAAAUAAUUGCUUUUUAAGAAUUGUAGAUACAUAGAUGAAGAAAAUAUAUAUUAUCUUUAAAAGAAUCAUAUGUAAAUACAGGGAACAUAUAAAAUAAGUUACAUGAUCAUAUCUUUGCAAAAGUGAAUUAUGGAAUUGAAAUACUAACUGUUAACUUAUGUAUGCAUAGUUUUUUUUUACUCCACAAAAAAAUAUAUUGAUGAUGGUACAAGGUACCAUAACCCAUAUACAAAAAGACGAUAAGACUUAACCAGGUUAGAACCCAUUUAUGUCAGAAUGGAAUAAAAAGAUACUAACCAAAAAACUGACCUAACAAAAUAAAUGAAGAACCUUUAAAUUGGAACGCCUUCCUGCUAUAGCAAUUCUAAGAACUUAUGUAUGUAUAGUUAAAAUUAGAACAUAUGUGAUUUAAAAAAAUUUUACACACAAGAAUCGAACAUUAGUUAUUUGGCUAAAUGAAUAAUUUUCACUCACUUGAAUGUAACAGAAUCAUACAUUAUUGCAUAAAUCCUUUGAUUAACAUAUAUGUGACUUUUAAAUCAUCAUAUGGUGUUAUAAAUAAUUCAUUUUUAGCAAAAAUAAUGCAUUAAAUGUUUAAGAUGUAUGCUUUUAUGUUAUGCGUUUUAGUAAAAUGAUAUAAAACUAUUUGAAGUACCACGCUAAAAAGAGAAAAAAAAGAAUAUAGAUAAUAAUAAGAGAAACUGAUGUUGUCACAUAGUUAUAGAACCAUAAUAAAAUGAGUAUAGAUAAUUUACCGUCACCGAAGUCUAUUGGGUAUUUGCACACUUUAUCACACCACCAAUUGCAGUAUGAUGAGGGGAAUAUGCAACCAUGCCAGCAAUAACCGAAGCAUUCAUCUCGGACAACGGCGUAGGGCCUCCUCGCCUCAACCCCGGCAGCGACUACAAGGCACACCAACAACAACAACGCAACGUUUUUGUUUGCCAUCUUUUGAUGUUUUCGAUCUGUUGCUUUUGUUGUUGUUGGUUAAUUUGUUUUGCCUCCUUCCCUGCCCUUGCUUACGAAGAAUGGUAGGUAUAUAUAGCUGCUUAAAUGGCUCCUCAACCACAAAUAAUUAAUGUCUUGGUUUCCUUGCUAAAGUUUGGGAUUCUUGUUACCAAGUGUCAUAAUUUUAAUCCAAAGAAAUUAUAUGGUAACUAAUUAUAGUCAAAUUUAGCUAUUCUUUCGUCUUUCGUUAACCUCCGGCCGAGGUUGUUUUUUUACAAAUGACAUUUUUCAUCGGCUUAUAGAGAGCACAAAAACAGCGGAUUAAUUACGUAUGCUAAUUUUAGCCCAAGAAAUUGGAAAUUAACUAAUUAAUCAUCUAAAAGGUGCUUUUCUUCCACCUUUCCUGGUCCAAGGCUAAUUUGGCAGCGUAAUGAAGUUGUCACAUGCCAAAUUGAGAGGCUAUAUAUGUUGUGAACCAAACUAGGUAUAAAAAAAACGUAUAACUAACCUUUGCCCUUUUUUAGCAACACAAGACUAACUGGCUAUAUAGUUCAUGAACAACAAACAAUAUUGUCUUGGUUUGUUGCUAAAAUGUGUGGUUCUUAUUAGUUUUUAGUAUCCUGAUUUUGACAUAAGAAAUUCUAAGUUAAUUAACCUAUUUAUCUAAUUAUUAUAUAAAAAAAUAAGGUUUUUCUUACAACCAACUACAAAUUAAGCAACUACCAUAAAAAAACAACUAAAAAUUAAGCAACGUAUUUGUUCGGCAGCUCGUGAUGACAUUUUUGUCAUUCAUUUAUAUCCUUCCCGUCUAUAGAUACAGAACAUAUAUUCAUUGUGCUAUUACUAUUGUUACUAUAUAUUCAUUUCUUACUCCAAAAAAAAGAAUUCAAUAUUUAUAGUUUUACAAAAGAGUUGUGAUUUGUGACAGUCUGAAAUAUAAUUCUUGGAAGCUAAAAACUCCUACAAAUAUUUUUUUCGGCGUUUACAAUCACUAAAAACAACCUUUAGUGAAUAAUAUUCGUUAACGGCUAGUAUUCUUGCUUAAAAAAAUAAUAAACCAAUACUUGUGGUUGAAUCCACCAAAAAAUGUAUUCUUAUAUAAAUAUAAUUCAACGAUUAAAUUAAUAAAAAAACAUAUUUUAUAUUAAAUUAUAAAAAUAAUAUAAUAAUUAUUAAAAUUAUGUGUUAUGAGAGAGAUUAAAUUAUAUCUGUAUAAUUUUUAAUACAAUAUUUUUAAUUGAAUAAUAUUUUUUUAAAACUCAUUAAAAUUUUCUUUCACAUAUGUAUGUAUACAUAUAUUUAUUUAUUUCUCUUUAUGCGCAUAUAAUUUUAUUUUAUCCAUUGAAAUUGAACUUGACAACAAAAGAGUUUACUCUUUGUAUAACUUUUGAAACUUAAAAAAGAAAGAAAAACAAAGUGUAAUUGCUCAAAAAAGAAAACAAGAGAAUCAAGAACAUGGAUAGAUAAUAUUUUAAUGGUGUUAUUAUUAUGAUAGUUAAUUACAAGCAGAGGAAAGGAGGAUAUAAGGACGUGUAUAAAAUGUUCUUGUUCAUGAUAAAGCCCUAUUUUAAGAAGCUUCAGUAAGUGCAUUUUGCCAAUUGUGCUUCGCCUCUUCUUUUUGCUUCCAUCUUACUUCAACUUAUAUCUGUGAUUGAACCUUCCUUGAUGAUAGUGAGUCUUGUUCUUUCACUGUUUGUGGUUGAACCUGAUCAGUUUCUGCAUCAUAGAGUGAUAGAGAUAUUUUAAAAUUACAAAGUCAAUAAAUAAUAAAUGUUUAUAACAUUAUACAUAGAUUUUUCUUUUGAAAGUAUAGCAUUAUGCAUAGAUAUAAACAUAAUUAAUCCCUUCUAUUUAUAUAUAAAAAUUAGAAUGACUAUUUUGAACGAGUAUUUUUAUUUAUUUAUUAUAAAUUUUAAUUAUAUAUAUAAGAAAUAUUAGAGUAAAUAAAACAAUAAUGCCAAUAUACUAUGUUUGUGUUAUCCAUCUUCAUUCAAAAUUUAUAUAUCAUGUCAAAUUUUCAAACAAUUCCAAUUGAAAUUUUUUUUAAAAAAAAAGUGUCAUCUAUAAUAAUGCCUUUUUUCUGUAAGGAUUUUAUUGUUAGACAAUGAAACCUAAACCCUAAAAUGAAGAUGAAAAUGAGUUUAUUAAUUAAUAUUCAACAUGAUUGUUCUGAGCGCACAAGCCAUACCACAAAAGGCUGCACACCAACUACUAUGGUCACCCUUGCAGUGUUCAUUGAUGCAAUUAAUUAUUAACGCACUCAUUAUGUGGGACGUAUGUGUUGUAUUGGGCAUUAGCACUUCCAGCGACCAUUAGGCCCACCACCAACAACAAUGCAACGUAUUUGUUUACCAUUUCAGUUCGCUCGAUCUUUUAUUUGUUGACUGUUGUUUAUGGUGGUUAAUUUUGUCUUCUCCUCCUUCCCUGACCUUAGUUUUGAAAGAUAGAUAAAUGGUUCGUGAUGAAGCACAAACAAAUAUAGAAAAAAUCUGGUAUUAUAUAUAGUUUGCCCUAAUUUUCUUAAUUUUGUUAAAAUUAAGACUCUGAUGUGUACGGAAUAACUAACAAGAACCCCAAAUUAUAGCAACAAACCAGUUUGUGGUUCCUGAACCCAUUUACGCAACUAUAUAUAUACAGCUAUAUCUAUCUUGGAAAACUAACAACAGGGCAAGAAGGAAAAUUAAACCAUCAACAACAACAGAAGAAAAAAAAAGGAGCCAACCGAAAUGGCAAACAAAUACACUGCGUUGUUGUUGGUGGUGUGCCUUAUAGUCGUUGCAAGUGUUGAUGCCAUAUCCGAUGCCAAAAGAGGAUGCAUAGAUGAUUGCCACGCUAAUUCUUGCACGCUCCAAUCGAUGUUGUGCAAAAACUAUUGUUGUUUUGUUUGCUUAACCGUCAACCGUAGAGAAACAUCAGAGGGUGAGUUAAUUUGUUUUCAUGUGAUUUUAAAACGUUUCUUUACAUGAUUUUUUUAUCUGAAAGAAUUGGAUACGAUAUCAGUAUUGGAUAAUGUUCACACAUCAUCAUGUUCAAUUCUUGAGAAAUUAUUAUACUAAAACCUUAAUUAUUUUAACCAGAUAAUUAAUCAUCUUCAAUAUUAAUUAAGAAAUUCAUUUUCAUCCUUUUUUUUUCAACUUCAAUUGGAAUUGUUAAAAAAUUCGGCAUAAUAAAUUUAAAAUAAAAAUAAUAACAUUACAAAUUAUAUUGAGACCGUUGUUCUAUUUAUUCUUCAAUAUUUAUUAUUAAUUUAUGCUUUUUAUACAUCUAUGUUUCUUGACUUUGUAAUUUUGAAAUAUUUAUGCUGCAGUUCAUACUCUUGGUAAUGGAGCAUCAAGGAAAAUGAAAGCGCAAAUGAUUAAAGAUCCUACCGAGCCAAAGCACUAAACACUUGGAACAUAAUUAGUUAAUUGAGAUGCAGAACAAGGGAAUCGAACGAUUAUCCGAAGCACGGUUGGCAGAAUGCACUGAAGAUUAAUAUAUAUAAGGCUUUCUCAAGAACAAGGACAAAAUAUUGUAUUACUUAAUUACUAUUUAUACACGUCCUUGUCCUCCUUGCCCUGUUGCCCCUGCUUGUCAUUAACUGCCAUAAUAAUAAUUAUAUCCAUGUCUUUCUCAUUUCUCUUGUUUCUUUCUCAGAAGUUACACUUCUUUUUACUUUUAAAAGGCUCUUGAGAUGACCAAAUAGCAGAGAGAUUCAAAUGGUUAUCACUAAAAAAAAGUAACUUGUGUCAUCGUUAAUUCAAAUUUAAAUUAAGAAGGCGAUUAUAUCACAAUUAAAAAAAAAUAAUGUGUAUUGGCAUUUAGAUGAUUUGUAUCAUAAUUAAUUGAAGAAUAAUUAAAAAGGUAAAUUUUUAUAAUUAAUAACAAUUAUUUUUUAAAUUUUUUUUUUAACAAAAUGAAAACAUAUUUUUGUUGAGUAAGAGAGAGUGAAAAAAAAUAAACAUACAAAUACAUUUAUGUUAUGUACUUUAAUUUAAAUAAGUUGAUUAUAAAUGAUAAUUUAUAAUAAUUAAAUAACGGUGUAAAAUUAUCUUAUAUUUAUAUUGUCAAUGUAUGACCUUUUUUUCAAUUAUUAUUGUUUAAAUUUUUUAUUUAAUAUUUAUGAUUUGUGGUCACUAUCAAAAAAUAAUUUCAUAAUCAAUUUUACACACAAUAAUAAUUAGCAUAAUAUACUGAGACACUUGUUUUUUUUAUCUAACUUAAUUUAGUUUUAUUUUUCCCAUUAAACCUACAUUAAGAAAACAAAUAUUCAAUUUAUUAUUUUAAAAUUAUUUUAAUAAAACUUUACUGGAAUUUAUUAGGUUUAUAAUAUUGUGUUAUUUUUAUUUAUAAUUUUUAUCUUAAAAAUAUUUCUAAAUUUUUAUUAUUUCAUUUUUAAUGAUUAUAAUUACAUAAUACAUUAUUUAAUUAUUGUAUUAAAGAAAUGUAAAAUAUAAAAAUUAAUAAUUAAAAUACUUCCAUAAUUUCAUAAUCAAUUUUUUAUAUACAAUAAUAAUUCUUAAUAUAAUAUGCCAGACACUUUUUUAAUCUUAAUUUAGUUUUAGUUUUACAUUAAAACUACAAUGUAUAAGAAAAUAAAUAUUUUGUGGUUAGAGUGACAUCACUAGAGUAUAAGUGUAAUCUGUCAAAUAGGUUUUGUGUCUUUUAUGGUUAUGUUUGAUAGUUAUUUAGAUUAUAAAUUUUAUUGUCUGAAAAGUUUGUUUAAUUAUUUGAUAAAAAAUAUUAUUUUUUUAAAUGCUAAUUGAAAUAAUAUUUUUUAAAAUUUUAAUUUUUAGUUUUUUAUAAUUUUUUUCUUUAAUAUAUUUAUUAAAUUUCUUUAUUAUCAUUUUUAAACAAAUUAUAAUUUUAUUAUUUUUAUAUUAUUAUAUAUUUUUUAACUACUUCAAUUACUAAUUUUAUCAAACUUUUAUAAUUUAAUAAGUUCAAUCUUAUAAUUUAAAUGGUCAGUUGUUUAUUUUCCAAUUAUUUCAACAACUAAUUCUGUCAUAUAUAUAUAUAUAUAUAUAUAUAUAUAUAUAUAUAUAUAUAUAUAUAUAUAUAUAUAUAUAUAUAUCUUUUAUGAUAAAAAUUAAACAGUUAAUAGGAAAUUUAUAAUAUUCAAAUAUUUUAUUUAAUCAAUUAGGUUAUACUUCUUUGUUAGAAGAUAUGAUUGAAAUACAAGUGAAAUAUGAUAAAUAAGUAUCUAAAUAUAACAGAAUCCGAUAAUAUAUAUAUAUAUAUAUAAUAUAACGUGUGGGUGUUGAUCGAUCGAUAUCCAAUUGAUGGUAUUGAGGCGUUGAGCCUAACACCGAUGGAAUGAUACACGGUUUAUCAGCCUGGUGUGUGUAGCAUGAAGAGGCUAAAGAAGCAUGAGAUCACUCUAUGAUCGACCGGAAUAAGAUCUUAAUGUAUACAUCCAUCAAUGUCAUAAUGCAUGUUUAAAUCAAUCUUUGACCACGCGGGCGUUCCUGCAGGGUCUGGUAGGUUUAAAGGUAUUAGGUUCGGUCCAAUAUCCACUGAAGGGUAUAUAUAUAAUUGCUCAAACGGACAAUAAGAGAAUCAUAAUAACAUGGAUGAUAUUUUAAUGGUAUUAUUAUUAUUGUGUUAGUUAAUGGCAAGCAGAGGAGAGGAGGAAAGCUUCACUGCUCUAGUGCAUUCCACCAAUUGUGCUUCGUUUCGUUCUUCGAUUGUGGGCGGUGAUGGUGCAGUGCCAUCUGCAAUAUAGAGAGAUUUUAAUUUUCAAAAUUACAAACUCAAUACAAAAUAAUAAAUAUAUAUAUAUAUAUAUAUAUAUAUAUAUAUAUAUAUAUAUAUAUAUAUAUAUAUAGUUAUACAUAGAUACUAUAUAUGAAGCUAGCAUAAUUAAUAAUAAACAUUAAAGAGUAAAUAAAACAAUAUUUUAUUUUAAAUGUGAUAAUAAUAUAGUAGAUAUUUUUUCCAAUGUACAUGAACUACUUGCCAAUAUAUGAGAUAUAUAUCUUUAUUUUAUAAAAAGUAAUAGUAAAUAACUUUUUUUUAUCGGUAAGUCUAAAGCUUAGGCUUUAAUUGUUGUACUCUUGGAUCGUUUCUGAAUAUAGUUUGUUAUGUUACAAUUUUCAUUCGAAAAUUAGCAUGGCAAAUUUGUAAACAAAACACAUUUGAAGUAAAAGUUAAAAAAAAUGUUAAUUACAAUAAUGCAUUUUUUCUUUGACGAUUAUUGUUUGACAAAAUAUGUAAUUAAACACUAACAUUUAGAAUAUGAGAGAAUUGAGUGCUUGUAGUUAUGUAUACGCACACAACCUAGACACAUUACUGUGAGAAUUGUUUGCCAAUAUCUCGUUAAUAUUCAAGAUUAUAUAGCAUGUAACUAUUUUCAUUCGAAAACUGGCAUGGCAAACUCGUCCCUGACCUGCCAUGUUGCAUGCCUUAUGAAAAUGAAUUUGUUAAUUAAUAUUCAAGAUGAUUAUCAUUUAUCUGAUUAAUAUAAUUCAGUUUUUAUAAUAUUUUAUUAUUAAAAUAUUCUAAGGGAGACAUAAAAAAUCACAUGGAAACAAAUUAACUUACUUCCUGGCUUAGGGUCUAAGCACCGUAUAUAACAAAACAAAUUGCACAAAGUCCCGCGUGGAAAGCAACCACGUUCGUGGCAAAUAGUUAAGCAUCUCUUUCUGUAAUCUGUGUAGAGGUCGGCAUCAACACUUGCAGCGACUAUAAAGCAUACCAGCAACAACAAUGCAGUGUAUUUAUUUGCCAUUUCGGUUCGCCCCUAAUGAUCUUUUCUUCUUCUGCAGUUGCUGGUGGUUUAUUUUUUCUCCUUCAAUUCCUCUCCCUAGCCUAGUUUUGGAUGAUAAACAUGGUAUAUAUAGCUGUCUAAAUAGUUCAUGAACCGCAAUCAGUGUCAUGGUUUGUUUCUAAAAUUUGGGUUUCUUGUCAGUUAUAGUGUUGUAAUUGUAACAAAAGAAAUUAGAAAUUAGCACAUUAACUAUCAAAUAUCAAUUAUCAAUCAUAUUAGUAUUAUAAAAAGAUCAUGUGUGGACUCUUUUUUAUUUGUAGGAAUAAAACACACAUAAAAAAGAUUUAUAAUAAUUUAUAUAUUAUCUUUAAUCAAUUGAGUUAGACAUCAUUAGUUUGUCAUGUAAAUAAAUAUAACAUAUAUAGCAAUACUAUAUUUGUUCUUUUCCCAUUGAAAUGCAGUUUUAAAAAUUAUUUUAUUUUUUAAUUCAUGAAAGUAUUACAUAAAUGCAAUUAAAAUUAUUUCUAUUUUAUUUUUUAACAUUUUUUAAUGAUAAAUGUUACUAUUUUUUAGUUACAUUCUUUUUCUAACAUUUUUUUAAGAAAAUGUUGCUAGUUUAAUUACGUUAGUUAUAUUUUUUUUGUAACAAUUCUAAUAAUAAAUGUUACUUGCAACCACACUUUUUUUACCAAUUUUAACAACCAAUAAAAUUAAUAGCUAAUUUUAAGCCAAAUAAUAAUUUAUUAGCUACAAUUUUAUAGUAACUAAAACUAAUUUAUUUUGACAAGUGAAUUAAAUAUUUGUAUAUUUAUUACAAUACAAUUUAUUUUUUGUAAUUUAUUUUCCCCCAACACGACUCAAUUACGUUAUCUCCCUCCUUCGCUGAUUUUCUCUGAUUUCGUGUUUCUUGUGAAGAUUUUCUUCUCAUAUUAUCUUUCUCGUUCUCUAAAAUAAAAACCAUUUUGAAUAUCUUAUUGCAACUUUUGAUAUCAAAGACAGUUUGAUUGUGGCAAGUUACUAACAACAAUAUAAUGCAUGUAUCAUCUAUCAUUGGAUGAUAAUGAAUGAGAUAGAAAUUUAGGCAAGAGAAAUGCUAGUUACAUUCUAUCUAACAUUUCUACUAAUUUUUUUAGAUCUUGCUUUUAAAUCAAGAGAAAAAAUUAUUAAAUAAAAAAAUUAAAGACCACAAAAAAAUUAAUAAUUUUCAAUGAAAUUCAACUAAUAAUAAAGAAAAUGUCGUUAGCAUUGAUCUCUUUAGGCAAAAGAUUGAUGAGUGUAAGAAGAAAAAUAUAUCCACACAUAAUACUGAUAUUAAAACUUAUGAGCUCAUAUAUUAUUAAAAUUUUCAUUAUUAAGUCAAUCCUAAUAGUUCAAACAAAUGAUCAAUAAAUUUGACCAUAACUUAUUGUUACAAGAGAGUCUUAUAAAAUUGAGAAAUUAUUAGAGGGUAUUAGACCACCAUCUAGUCCAUAGUCACUAUUAAUCUCUGCAUAAUAUAUAAUCAAAUUUAUUAAUUAGUUAAUUACUUUAUCUUAAAUUAAAAAAAAAAAUAAGUCAUACAUGGAUAAUUGAUCUGGAUCAUCAACAUGUGGCAUCUAAUAAUUUUUUUCAUAAAAUCACCCUCAAAGGCACGAAACAAGAUCACUCGAUUCACAUUUUUUUUUUGGCAGUAACAAUGAAAGAAUUAAAAUUGUGAUAAUAAUAUAACCAAUCAAUUUUAUACCUCAUCAAAAUUAAGUACUAGUAUAAAUUAAUAAAAAAACCACUAGUAAAAAAAAUUAACGAAUUGAAAAGUCCUAGCAAAAUACAAAUAACUUAAUAAACUUCAAGACUGAAUAAAAUAACAAGAACUUCAGUUUCCAUUUUUUUUUUUACAUAUAUACAUUAAAAUGCAAAAGUACGAUAAAUACUCCCCCAAAUGUGGGGUCUGAGACAAUCUUAAAAUCUAAGGUAAUGGCCACACGGUAAAGAAUAUAAUAUAUAGAAACAUAAUAUCUAUAUAUGUAUAAAGUAGGUCUUCACAAAUCAUAAGAUAUGGCGAACACACAAGCUAGUAGUAUUUGAGAAGAGCAAAUCCAAGUGCAAUGAAGAGAAGAGAAGGUGAGACACUGUAAGAUGUCAUGGCAGAUGAUGGAGAGAGAUUAGUGCGACCACUUCCAGUUGGUACAGAUGGGUUACCAGAAUCCGCUGAUGGAGAUGGUGGAGUCAAAAGAGAGGGAGUAGUUGUGUCAGAUUGUGGUGCCAGAGAAGGUGAAGUUGGUGAUGGGAGAACAGUAGAAGCUGUUCAAAGAUAAAUUAGAGUAUGAUAUUAGUAUCACACUAAAGAAGUUCUUGGCCACUAAAAAUGUUACUAUAUAUGCAUGUACUAAAAUGAAAUAAUUAAUUAACCUUGAGGACUAGGGGUUGGAGUAAAUCCAGAGGGAGCAGAUGGAGCUGAUGCUGGCGAAGGAGAUGGUCCAAGAGACACUGGUCCUGCGCAUGUUUAAUAAAAUCAUUCAAAAGCUUAGUUACAAUUAAUGGUAAAAAUAAUUAUAUUAUAUAUAAGAAAUUUUAGGCAAAAUAUACAUAUUGAAAUUGAAAUGGAAGUUUUGCGUUUUGGCAUUACCAGGAGCAGGGAGUGGUGAACCCGAGGCUGCAAAAUAAGUAAAGGCAAAAAAGUCACACACCUUAAUUAAUUAGCUUAAUUGAUAAACAAGAUUAAGAAUAAAAUCUAGGAUGAGUUACACUUUAUUUUUCUAUAACUUUUUAACUUACUUUCCUAUAUGUCUUUUUAUUGUUAAAUAUUUUGAAGUUUAGAUUAAAAUAAAUAAUUCUGUAAUUACAAUUUUAGUUAUCGUUAAUAAACAUAGAAAUAAGCCUAAUACAAAUAAUGAAAUUUAACAUUUGUUAUAACUUAAAUUUCAGAAAAUUUAGAUAGUUGGAUAUUAUUAGUGGAGAGAGUUAAAAAAUAGUUUUACUCUCAAAGCAGUAAUCCCUUCCUUCUUUGUUUUGUAUGUUGAAAUCCAGAAAUAUACAUUGAAAUUUAUAAAAACAAUUUUCCAACUUUUAUCCAAAAAAAUCCUAAAAUUAAGUGUGUGUGUGUGUGUUUUUUUACAAGUUAAAAUUAAAUUAUGCAUAAGGCAAUCUAUUGUGUGCCUUUUCAAAAUCUGACUUUAACUUAUCUAACUUUAAAUAUUUAUGGGAGAAGUUUAAUUUAUUUGAAUUUUCUUUUCUUUUUUAACAAGUUCUUAUUAAGAGGACCUUAGUCAUUAAAAAGC
Molecule: long non-coding RNA, 27372 nt
Filed under: Glycine max (soybean)
Lineage: Eukaryota; Viridiplantae; Streptophyta; Magnoliopsida; Fabales; Fabaceae
Description: long non-coding RNA (GMAX_LNC002347)
Source: RNAcentral